This 253-nucleotide ribosomal RNA is filed under the name uncultured bacterium. RNAcentral describes it as "partial 16S ribosomal RNA". It matches the Rfam family "Bacterial small subunit ribosomal RNA", at positions 524 to 776 of the family's 1533-position model. The record is from RNAcentral.
UACGGGGGGGGCAAGCGUUGUUCGGAAUUACUGGGCGUAAAGGGCUCGUAGGCGGCCAACUAAGUCAGACGUGAAAUCCCUCGGCUUAACCGGGGAACUGCGUCUGAUACUGGUUGGCUUGAAUCCGGGAGAGGGAUGUGGAAUUCCAGGUGUAGCGGUGAAAUGCGUAGAUAUCUGGAGGAACACCGGUGGCGAAGGCGGCAUCCUGGACCGGUAUUGACGCUGAGAAGCGAAAGCCAGGGGAGCAAACGGG